CUGGUAAGUGACGAAGAUCUUCUUUGCUUGGAGCUAUGUAUUCACCAUCACUUCCAUUCAAUUUCCUGCAAAUUACACAUUGCCACUGGCCUGAACCAAGUAAUAUCUUGCAAUAGAGAUUUGCAUAAGCUCCACAAUUUUGGCAACGAUGGGGAUCACGCUGUGUUAUCUGAGGUCCUGGUGAAAUCUCCCUCCCAGGAGAAAUCAAAGCCCCAAAACCCAAACUGGAUACAUUUGCAAGUUUCUUCUGCUUCAGCACCUUGUGAGCAGAGAAUAAGACACAUGGUAAUUCCUCAAUGGAUAUUGAAUCCUCUGUAGCUUGGGGAACUUGGUGCUGCAACUCUACUGACCCAUUUGAGAAAUGGGGUGGUGAUGAUGUGGGCAAUGAUGAUCCUGUCGAGAAAGCAACUGGCUGAGGGGUUGCAGGAGAAGUCCGAAAAGGCACAGCAGCGGGCCGGACUGGAGAAGUAAAAACAGGAGGGCCAGGGGGAGUGCUUAAAUGAGGAAUCGGGCUUCCACUUUUUAUCCCAUUGAAUGGUGAUAGUAAAUUUGGAGUUUUGAUUGAGGGAGAAGGGUUUUGAUCUUGUUGCAAAUUAGGAGAAGAAAAUCUAGGGGCUCCAGGUAGCAUUGGAGGAGAAGGAGGAAUUGGAGUUUUCUCAGGUUGAGGUGUUGAUGUAUCGGGGUUCGUAGGAGUAACAGUGAGAGGAUACCCAAGGGAAGGUUGUGGUUGUGGUUGUUUAGCCAUUGAAAUUCAAUGUUUUCUUUAUUGAAGAGAAAGAACUUUCAAGAUCCCAAAACCAAAUAUCAGAUUUUUAAGAAAGUUAUAAACAAUUCUAACUGAAAAUCAAUGACAAGAGGUUCAGCCUUCAGAGUAAGGGCCCUGAGACUGCAGUGAAUUUCAAUGGGUUAUUCAUAAAAGUUUA
Molecule: unclassified non-coding RNA, 923 nt
Filed under: Hevea brasiliensis (rubber tree)
Lineage: Eukaryota; Viridiplantae; Streptophyta; Magnoliopsida; Malpighiales; Euphorbiaceae
Source: RNAcentral